This 127-nucleotide small RNA is filed under the name Marmota monax (woodchuck). The record is from RNAcentral. Lineage: Eukaryota; Metazoa; Chordata; Mammalia; Rodentia; Sciuridae.
GCCAGGCACGGUGGAGCAUGCCUGUAAUCCCAGCGACUUGGGAGGCUGAGGCAGGAGGAGUGCAAGUACAAGGCCAGCCUCAGCAAUUUAGCAAGGCCCUAAGUGACUUAGUGAGACCUCGUCUCAA